This 84-nucleotide transfer RNA is filed under the name Felis catus (domestic cat). It matches the Rfam family "tRNA". Rfam says of the family: Transfer RNA (tRNA) molecules are approximately 80 nucleotides in length. Their secondary structure includes four short double-helical elements and three loops (D, anti-codon, and T loops). The record is from Rfam by way of RNAcentral. Lineage: Eukaryota; Metazoa; Chordata; Mammalia; Carnivora; Felidae.
GCCUGGCUGGCUCAGUCAGUUAAGCGUCUGACUUCAGCUCAGGUCAUGAUCUCACAGUUUUGGGUUCAAGCCCCACGUCGGGCU